This is a long non-coding RNA of Strongylocentrotus purpuratus (purple sea urchin), 5763 nucleotides long. RefSeq lists it as uncharacterized. Lineage: Eukaryota; Metazoa; Echinodermata; Echinoidea; Camarodonta; Strongylocentrotidae. The transcript has 4 exons. The record is from RefSeq and is a predicted model, not a curated record.
CCCCAUUGAUGACGUGACUAACCAGUAGUCACAACUACCCCCGCCACGACGACAGCCCCCACGACAACACCAUUGACAGAAGCAACGACGACGACGAGGAAAACGACCUCAGGCACGACCUCCAGCGUUGUCCACUCAGACAUCGACCAACAAGUUGCAGAGUCCACCUCAGUAACGACAACACCAGGAAGGGAACCUUCAAUAAACACAGUUAAACCAACAAAAUCAGAUCCGAAAAUGCAGACAAGCAACAACACAACAUUGUAUAUCAUUGUAGGGUCUUGCACUGGAGUGGUUUUACUCGCUAUCGUGGUUCUUGUAUGUUACUGCUGCUGCUGCAAGUCGAAAAAUACAUUUUAAAUCAGCAAGGAGCACAAGGGAUCCAUUGUCUUCCUCUCUACAUGGUAUUCAGUGUCUUCAAAUUGGCAAUGCUGCACUCUUCACUUGCUUUAAUAGUCUCCUAGCUUCAAUUGUUCGCACAUGGUUACACAGUCCACAGUAACGCUGUAAUGUUCAUAUAUGAUCAUGUGACCGCAUGCCUGUAUAUUAUGUCAGUACAGCUGUAAACGCUAUUAUUGCAGAGUUUUAUUAGUUAUGAAAACAUUCAAAAUAUAUUGUGAUUAUAGGCUGUUAAGCUUCAGGGCAAGUGCCAUUGCAGAAAUUAGGACACAAAUAUAUGAACCGUCUCUGGUCUGGUGGCAGAAUGGCAAAAGUAAUACAUUCCUAUGUAAACCUUUGUAUCCAUUAAAAGUUACCACAGUAAAUGUAACUAAAAAUGUAAGAAUAGCAAAAUGAAGACAUUUCUCAUCAUUAUUUCAUGAUCUUAACAGAAUUGUACUAAUUUGAGAAAACUGAAAGAGUGAGCUCUCCAUACAUCUGUCAACUCAGCUAAGCCAGGCUUAAUUUCAUCCAAUUCUUUUGUACACUUAAUUUUUAUUUCAAUUGUUCAAUUAAUGAAGAAUUUGUUUGUUUGUACAGUCAAUAUGAUUUGAUUCUUAUGUGACACUGAUAAUAUGCAAUGUAUGAAAUGCACAUUAUAAUUGUUUCUUUUUUUUUGUUCAAAAUUAUGUAUUUUGCUUCAUUUAUUUUAGAUUAUUUUGUUAUCACUUGUCUAUUAAUUUUUGAUAGAAGCCUAUCAGGGAGAUUUCUAACAAAAACAUGAAAAUAUAAGGGGGAAAGCAGAUGGGGUCUAAGAGAAACUUGCCCUGUUAAAACAUAUUCUCUCUCUAUGAGUUUAAUUAGGGUAUUUUAUAAUAUUAAUGGACACACAAGUCAUGAUCACUUCGAUUUAACCAUGAUAGUCCAAAUCCCUGAGUUUGAUUUGCCUCUCUUGUUUUCCUUUGUGAUAAUUUAGACUGGUCAUGUCCAUAUGUGUGGAAAAAAGGCAAUAAGGCAUGAUUCCAACUGUAAAAAAAGCUUGUCCUUUUUAAAACUUGUUGAUUUUCUUUCUUUUUGGUAUAAAUAUAAUCACUGAAUUGGCAUUGGAUAUGUUAUUGCAUUCACAGAAAGAAAAGAAAUUGUUAUUAUUUCAUUUCAUUACUUUAUAUGCUUGUAUUUCUUUUACGUUUCUUUUCAUUUAUCGCAGAGUAAAUCACCAAAUGGAUACUCCAAGCCAAAUCCUAACACACCAGUAUAAUCUACUCUGUUCCUUCCUACAUUUUUUUUUUUUUACUGAGAAGGUAUUUGCGUGCAGUCUUGUCAAAGCAUCUCAUAAGUGUUUUUUUGAAGAAAAAAAGGACUUUGUUCUGGAAAAAUGACAUGCAGGGUACAUACAUGUGUAGGCCAUUUUCGUAAUGUAACCAAGUUUAAUGCAAAAAUCAUUGUAAAGUGCAUAGAACAUAUUUUGUUUAUUCACCUGUUUACGAAUGAUUGCAUUGGACAGGUCAGAAUGCAGAUUGCAUAUAUUACGUGUUGCUAGGUAGGGCAAGUCAUAAUGUUUGUCUUACCUAGCAACAACUAAUGUAUACAAUAUGCUUUCUAUUAAAAAAACAUUUGUAACUGGUAAAUGAAAGGAUAUGUAAUGAGGCACUUGACAAAGAAGUAUCCAUUAUAUUUGAUUACAUUCCAAAAAACAACUUAUAAUUCCAACCCAUUGCUGUGAAGAUAAAUGGUGUGCAAGUCCUCGUCUUUUGUAUGGAAAAUUGUGGUUUUUGUACCGUGUUGGCUUUUUCACGUUUUUUGAAGAAAAUGGAAAAUUGAAGAAGAAGUUACUCUGGAAAAUACCAAACCAUGAAAAGUGUAUACCGCCCUCUUUAGCUUCAUAAUAUGUAGUCAGUGAAAGAUGUAUACCGCCCUCUUUAGCGUCAUGAUAUGUUGUCAGUGCCAAUGAGUAGGAGACUUGAACAACCCGGUUCAAUUUGACCACAAUACGGCGAUUACUGCUUUGUUGAGCGAGUACAUUACAAUAGAAUAUGAUGUGACCAACUGAAACCAAGUUUGCCAAACUCUGUGAACAUAUUGCUCUGAAUGAAGUUAACAUAAUCAGUAUCAAAUUACUAACGGUUUAAGCACGGCUCCUACGUCUUUAUUUUCUCUCUUUUACCCCACUCAAUAUGGCCAAAAAAAAUAGUACCAUAAGCAGUUUUGUACAAUUAUGUAAAUCCUUUCGUAACUUCUUGUUUCCAUAAAAAGUAGGAUAUUUAAAUUGUGCAAAAGUCAAUUAUUCAGUAUUAGCAAUCCUUAUCUCGAAUGUUGGUGGUGUUUUUCACCUUUAAUACCUUUUUUUAUGAGAGGAUUCACUUGAUAACAACAUAAUGGGAAGAGCGUUGAAUGUAGUAAUGGAAUGAAAUAUUGACAUAAAUAUCUUUGCAUGAUGAUACUGUAUAAUGUUGCAUAAGGUGUUUAGAUAUUCUUGGAGUUUAGAAAGAUAUAAGAAUAAUGACAUAUUUAACCCCGUAGUCUGCAGACCAAUACAUUUUAUAGGUACAUGCUGGUUUACAUAAUUUGUUUUUAAAAGGGCUUUUUGUAUACGAUAUGAUCAUGUACAUACAGGUGAUCUUUUGUAUGAGAUAUCGUUCAGUCAAGAAAGCUAAUUGAAUAUGUAAGAUAAAUAAAGUGUAAACAGCACAAACAUUUGCUUAGCAAUACAAAAAAGUAUGCUUUCCCCACCACAUGACUAUAUGUUAAAGUCAUAUGGCCAAAUGAAAAAUAGGUGCAGAGUUACAGACCUCAAAAAUAAUUAUAUAACUGCAAUUAAAUGCAGUUACUAAAAAGUUAUCCAUGUUUUUUUUUGUAUUUGUACAUAGUUAUAUGAAAACAUGGCAAGCUGAAAACAAGCUAUUGCUGUUUGUUAUGCACAAUGAAAAGUUAUCUUUACAAGUGUAUAUAUUGCUUUAAUAGGUACAUGAACAUGUAUUAAUGUAUAUAAAUCUGUUCAAAGCUGAUAUUGUAUGCACAUUCUAAUUGGUUAAUGACAUUGUUUUCUUGUUAUUUGUACAGUGAAUCUAUCAUUUUCUUCGAUAACUACUUUGCUAUGGUGUGUUUCUAUGAUUACUACGGCUACUAUUUUGUUUAGCAUUCCUAUUACCUAGAUUUUUAAGAGAACUUUUGUUUAUAUGUUUAUUUAUGUUAAAGAUAGUACUAUUGAAAUGCGCAGAGCAUAGUUGUGUAAAUGUCUUGACAUUUUUCACAUUAAAAAGUAGUACCGUAAGUCUGAUUUUAGAGAAUUUUAUAAUUUCAGAUACUUAAUCACACCAGUUACUUUGAUACCAUACAUGGAAAACAAAUGGAUACUUCAUGUUUAUAUAUAUGAGACUAUUAUGAGCCAUUAAGAAAUGAAUGGUAUCGAUUCAAAUCGUACAGUUGAUUUAUAAUGGUAGAAUAGUAUUCCAAUCUUAAUUGGGGGAAGAAAAUCACUGUUGAAGUAGGAAAUAGUAAAGUACGGUACCUGUAGGUUGAAUAACAUGCAUUUUUAUCGGUAUGACCAUUUUUAGUCCGUAUUGGUUUCUUGGAGCUAGUCAGAACACACUAGAUUAUCAUGUUUUAAAAUAAUAUAUGCAUGUAAUUGACAACUUUAAGAACUUUUUGGUAUAUACUCUUUGUACAUUGGUAGUCACGAGACGUUUUUAUACAAAUACAUUUUGACAUAUUGAAGUAUAUAAUGUUUAUUUAGAUCUAAACUAUUUAGAAAUGCAUUGACAAGUUGACAAAAUAGAAUUUGUGCUUCAUGUUUUUUCAAUUGUUUUUAAAAGAAGUAAUCCUUACUCGGCAGGUUUAGGAAUAAGAAAUAAAGAUGAAACUUUACCUGUUCAUUUUUGUUUUAAAACCAUGUGACUGUAUUUGCCAUAUAUUCUUUAAGAGGCCAUUCGUUUUUGUUGUUGGUUCUGUAGAUUAUGGUUUCUGGAAAAUGAGAAAAUAAACAAGUCACAUUUCUCAGAAAAAUAUUUAAAACUGCAAUUCAAAUUGAACUUGGAAAGUGGAAGGUAUCUAAUGAUUUAGUUAUCAAACUUGCCAAAUUUAUACUUUAUUUACUUCUGAUAUGUGUUGUAAAUGUUCCUCCUAAUCAUAAGUAUCUAAAGCUAAGGACUAAUUAAUCUAAUGUGUUAAUAUUGCAAGAGGUCUACAUAAUUUGAAUAUGGACGAAGUGUAGUGAUGUUCAAUAAAUUUAAGUGGUAUGACAAUUAUCAUCUGAAUUCUUUUAUGGGGUUUUUAGUUUUCAUUUUGCCAUCACGCUAAUCAGUCCUGUAGUAUAUUACGUUUCGAAUUUGUACUAUGUGAUAUUGCGUUCGUUUAUCGAAGUACAUCAAACGAAUAUAUUUUUUCUAACAUUGUUUCGUUUAAACUUUUGCGUUUCUACAUCGUUAUUUAGUUUACAAGGUUAAUUUAAACGGCUGAUUUGUUCAUUUAACUUGCAGAUACAUUCAUUACCUAAAAAGGCAGAAUUUUGAAAGUUCGAUUCAAUAUUUUUGUCAGGGUUUUGAUAAGGAUACACAAAAACAGUCUCUCUAUUUCAAAACCACUAUUAUAUUUCUUUUCUUUUUGCUAGAAAGAACAUUGUAUUCUAAGAAAACAUUCUAUUGUAGUUGCAAUACAAGCUAGAGGGUAAAAGCAGGGUAGUCUACUGACAUUACUCUACGUUUACAUAUACUGCCACCUGCUGCUCACAAGGACACGAUGUGUCGACAGCCAUGUCCAACAAUGCAUCACCAAUGGAUGACGCGCUAGAAACAGGCAAUCGCUCUAUGUACGCCUUCACCGAAAGAUGGCGCAAUUGGAAAUAGAUUACUGCAGUGUAGUGGUAGCGAUGUCGGUUAAAAUACUCUGCCUUUAAAAGAAAAUAUACAACUUCACCGAUGCAUGACCAUUUGAUUAGUAGUGUAACCUUCCUUUCCUAAAAUCUUGAAAAACUUGUGUUAGGUUGUAUGUGUUAAUGAGUUACUGCUCUUGAAGUAUUUUGAAGAUAUUUUUAAAAAUAUUAUUGUUUAACAAAGUUUGUUACUUUAGACUUGUUUUUAAGUUCUAGGAUGUUGAAGUUUGUAUAGUUACAUUGUAUGUAUGAAUGACGGAUACGUAUACAAUUCUACGUGAAAUAUACUAAUUUAAAAUCGUUUUUUCAUUUUUUUAAAACAAAGAUCAUGUGACGAAUUUGAUCUUUAAUGCAAACUAUCAUUCAAGGCUGAUUAUACUCGUGGAAUUGUCGCAUGAUUGUAUUGUUUGUAUGUCAUUUGACUUUUAUAUCUAUGAUUAUUAAGAUUGGUGCUGUAAAUCAUGGAAAUUAAGCGUGCUUGAUUAAACUAUUGUAUAUUGUGCUACUGUUCAUGAAAA